Molecule: long non-coding RNA, 1036 nt
Organism: Corythoichthys intestinalis (scribbled pipefish)
Lineage: Eukaryota; Metazoa; Chordata; Actinopteri; Syngnathiformes; Syngnathidae
Exons: 4
Source: RefSeq, a predicted model, not a curated record
GGAGGUGGGACUUUGCGGAGGUGGGCCGAGGCCAAUUCCACCGGCAGGAGAACAUUGGGCGGUGUUGCGCAUGGGGCUGGAUAGGGUCCCGCUGGGGCUGAAGCCGGCACCGGCGCCAUGUGGUGAAGGCGGGGCCAGAGGUUGGCAGAUGCCACCGCCGCUCAAGGUGGAUGAGGGGCUCUCGGGACAAGGAGAUGCUGUGCUGCAGAAACUGUUUGCAGAAAAACUCGCUCGAUACACACUGCCGUUCAAGAUGGAAGAUGACCGCACAAUGAUGACAGUCCCAGAGUUACCCACCCACUGUAAUGUGAAAAUCUCAACAAUGAAGAUCCAACAGUGAAGAUGGAGUGAAGACUUAGAAGAACAUUUGGCACGCUUUUUGUGAGGGUGAAACUCCAUAUCAUCGCUAGAGUCUUCAUCAUCAUAGUCAGAAGAGUGUUGACGUGAGCUCGAAGCCUGCCCCCCUCCACUCGUCUCAACUGGACCGUCAUCUUGUUCACGCUUCACGCUGAGCUUCAGUGGAAACUGAGUGAUUUCAUCCUCCUCCUCUUCUUCUUUAAUGUUGGGCUCAUACUGCUCAGGACCAAGAUCUUCUCCAGUGACGUCUGCGAGACACAAAAUGAUGACUUAAAAUAAUUAAGAAAUUAAAGUCCUUUCUUUCAUUAGGUCACCACAUUGACAUGCAAAGUCAUGAAAUUAGUAUGCUGAGACAUUUAAAAACACAUGUUAGUUAAGAUGUAUACGUCUUCAGGAAUACUGCAGAACAAAUCAAUACUCCAGUGAAAAAGUGCCUUCAUUUUCAUAAUUAUUAUAUUAUAUUGUAAAUAAUGAGUCAUCUUUUCAUGGGCAGAAUGGACUCAUUGCAAUUUACAUCACUGAUUAUGUCUGAAAACCAUGAUUGAUUGGCACCUAAAUGUAGCAGUGGAUCUAUAUUAUGACCACGAAAUCCUUCCAGCCAUUAUCAGUUCUGCUUAUCCUCAUUACCGAUGAGCGAUAUAGAAAAUAUUUGAAAUUCACAUGUACUUCCACAGCUGUC